CGGAAAACAAACCAUCAUCCGAUCGUGCAACUGCUGCCUUUACUUUGGUAUUUGGCAAGAGAUAAAGUGUAACCUUUGUGCUCACUCUCUUCUCACUUGUUCCAAAGGUGAAACCGUGCACGAGACCUAUACAACACACGAGCAGGACAUUUUACCUGUGGCGUGCCUCGAGAAUCAGGUUUCAACUUUGGAAGAAAGUGAUGGAGAAACGCAGAUGUAAGAACAGCCAUGGAGCGAGCAAUGAGGCCAAACCUAUGAAGGGAAUGAAACAAAAUGAUGGGAAAAAAGGAGCAAAUCAAACUGUCAAGACAGCUCAAGAUUAUCGUGAAGACAAAAGAGAACUGGGCAAGCAGAAGUAUUGCAAAGUCUCAAAACCAUCUCGACCAGUUGAUGGAGAAGUUUCAAAAACCACUGUAUUUUUCAGUUUCAAAACCACAGUUUAUCAAAACGACAGUUCAGAACCACAGUUUCAAAAACCACAAAAACCACCAACAAAGAGCAAACAGUGUCCUACGACAAAAAUCACUGUAUCACCAACAAAAAGCAAACAGUGUCCAAUGACAAAAACCACUGUAUCACCAACAAAGAGCAAACAGUGUCCCAAGACAAAAAUCACCGGAGCUCAGAAUCCUGCUGAGAGCAAAGAAACACCUGGAGCUUCACCGAUUCGAGGGAAGAAGGUGACAGCUUUGAUUCCUCAAAUAAAAUAUGCUUGUAAGAUGCCGGUGAACAACUUCUAUCAGGCACAGAGACCCAAUUUUAGAGGCGGCUUCAAGGACAAUUCAAAUGAGUCGUAUGACCGUAAAAAGAAUGUACCAAGGUCUCUACAUGGGGAAGUGAAACAAAAACCUGUCUCUUUAAGUACACCCCUUUGCGCUGGGAGACAGCAACACAGUCGUCCCAAGGCUGGCCUGUCCCCCCAGUCUUCACCCGGUCAACAAUGUCAGCGAUUGAAAAAGAAAGGAAGCUUUUCUUUGAAAGAACGAGAAAACGAGAGCCAAAAAGAGUGCAUCACCUCUGAGAAGAGACACAAGGUAACUUCGAAUGUCACAACAAAAGGAAGUGAUGUGGAGGCUUCCACCAAUCAGCUAAAAGAGUACUCAAUCAGCCUCAAAUGAAAAUUCUGUAAAAAGUCAACUUGAACUCACCCAGGAUCGACCGAAUAAGGCAAACCAAACACCAAACAACCAGUCAAGAGACAACGACAAGUACAAGGAGACAGCCAUGGCAAACAUGUCCACAGACUCGGGUGUUCUUGAUCCAAAAUCUGAUGGAUGUAUGACUGCUGGUGCCAAACGUUUACCCCUUUUGGACCAGACAAUUUCAUCACCAAUGAAGAUUUUCACUCCAAUGAAGUGGUGGACAAGAACUGAACAAGAAUUAGUUGAUGAAAAAGUAAGAGUGAAAAAUGAAGAGGGAAAGAAGAAAGAGCCCAAAUGCUUGUUCCUCCUCUGAAGUGAAGUGUACACCUCCAUUUCAAGAUGGAUCCCUCUCCAAGACAAGACAUCUCACUGUGAUUACAAAAGACAACCAAAAAUUGCCGUUCGCUUCAGUGAUGCCUUCGAAAUGCCAGUCCCAAAGGGAUGUCCCAUUGAACCUACAUGAGGAAGAUAAGAUGAAAGUAGCAUUUGAAAUUUCCACCAAAGAUCAAAAAGACAAAACAAUCAAACCAGAAGGUGAGAUCUUGAUGCACAUUUUGCGGUGUUGGUAAAAUUAAACAAAACAUUGAGAUAGACAUCGGACAUUUACAUUUGUCGUGCUGUCAGUUGUUGAAUACAAUAUGCUGGAUGACUCCUUUGCUAGCCUGUGGAUAUUAAAUACUGUAUGUGUGUGUAUAAUGUGUGCAUAUGGUACGUAUAAUAUUGUUGCGGGCCAGGGGUCAGUGGCAAGAAUGACCACGAGGUGGGGGAGGUUGCAUCAUCUCCCAC
This is a long non-coding RNA of Eptatretus burgeri (inshore hagfish), 1928 nucleotides long. NCBI's taxonomy places the organism in Eukaryota, Metazoa, Chordata, Myxini, Myxiniformes, Myxinidae. The record is from Ensembl.